CAWGCAARUCGGAGCGGACUUWAWGMGRWGCUYGCWYCUCUGAUGGUUAGCGGCGGACGGGUGAGUAACACGUAGGCAACCUGCCCGUAAGACCGGGAUAACUACCGGAAACGGUGCUAAUACCGGAUAAUUUAUCGCUUCGCAUGGAGCGGUAAUGAAAGACGGAGCAAUCUGUCACUUCGGAUGGGCCUGCGGCGCAUUAGCUAGUUGGUGAGGUAAGGCUCACCAAGGCGACCAUGCGUAGCAGACCUGAGAGGGUGAACGGCCACACUGGGACUGAGACACGGCCCAGACUCCUACGGGAGGCAGCAGUAGGGAAUCUUCCGCAAUGGGCGAAAGCCUGACGGAGCAACGCCGCGUGAGUGAUGAAGGUUUUCGGAUCGUAAAGCUCUGUUGCCAGGGAAGAACGUCGGRUAUAGUAACUGCUAUCCGAGUGACGGUACCUGAGAAGAAAGCCCCGGCUAACUACGUGCCAGCAGCCGCGGUAAUACGUAGGGGGCAAGCGUUGUCCGGAAUUAUUGGGCGUAAAGCGCGCGCAGGCGGUCACUUAAGUGUGGUGUUUAAGGCUAAGGCUCAACUCUAGUUCGCACUGGAAACUGGGUGACUUGAGUGCAGUGAGGAAAGUGGAAUUGGACGUGUAGCGGUGAAAUGCGUAGAGAUGUGGAGGAACACCAGUGGCGAAGGCGACUUUCUGGGCUGUAACUGACGCUGAGGCGCGAAAGCGUGGGAGCAAACAGGAUUAGAUACCCUGGUAGUCCACGCCGUAAACGAWRAAUGSUAGGUGUUAGGGGUUUCGAUACCCUUGGUGCCGAAGUUACACAUAAG
Molecule: ribosomal RNA, 825 nt
Filed under: Paenibacillus sp.
Lineage: Bacteria; Bacillati; Bacillota; Bacilli; Caryophanales; Paenibacillaceae
Description: bacterial SSU rRNA
Rfam family: Bacterial small subunit ribosomal RNA
Source: RNAcentral